CCGGGUUGCGGACAGUGUCUGGUGGGUAGUUUGACUGGGGCGGUCUCCUCCUAAAGAGUAACGGAGGAGCACGAAGGUUAGCUAAUCCUGGUCGGACAUCAGGAGGUUAGUGCAAAGGCAUAAGCUAGCUUGACUGCGAGAGUGACGGCUCGAGCAGGUGCGAAAGCAGGUCUUAGUGAUCCGGUGGUUCUGAAUGGAAGGGCCAUCGCUCAACGGAUAAAAGGUACUCCGGGGAUAACAGGCUGAUACCGCCCAAGAGUUCAUAUCGACGGCGGUGUUUGGCACCUCGAUGUCGGCUCAUCACAUCCUGGGGCUGAAGUAGGUCCCAAGGGUAUGGCUGUUCGCCAUUUAAAGUGGUACGCGAGCUGGGUUUAGAACGUCGUGAGACAGUUCGGUCCCUAUCUGCCGUGGGCGCUGGAGAAUUGAGGGGGGCUGCUCCUAGUACGAGAGGACCGGAGUGGACGCAUCACUGGUGUUCGGGUUGUCAUGCCAAUGGCAUUGCCCGGUAGCUAAAUGCGGAAGAGAUAAGUGCUGAAAGCAUCUAAGCACGAAACUUGCCCCGAGAUGAGUUCUCCCUGACUCCUUGAGAGUCCUGAAGGAACGUUGAAGACGACGACGUUGAUAGGUCGGGUGUGUAAGUGUAGCGAUACAUUGAGCUAACCGAUACUAAUGAACCGUGAGGCUUAACCUUACAACGCCGAAG
RNAcentral lists this ribosomal RNA (703 nucleotides) under Citrobacter portucalensis. RNAcentral's name for it is "bacterial LSU rRNA". It matches the Rfam family "Bacterial large subunit ribosomal RNA", at positions 2240 to 2925 of the family's 2925-position model. The record is from RNAcentral. Lineage: Bacteria; Pseudomonadati; Pseudomonadota; Gammaproteobacteria; Enterobacterales; Enterobacteriaceae.